Molecule: RNA transcript, 2928 nt
Organism: Phoenix dactylifera (date palm)
Lineage: Eukaryota; Viridiplantae; Streptophyta; Magnoliopsida; Arecales; Arecaceae
Gene name: Tetratricopeptide repeat (TPR)-like superfamily protein
Source: RefSeq, a predicted model, not a curated record
CUCCACUUCUUUCCUCCUCCUUCAUCUUCUCUUUUUUCUUCUUUUUUUUUUUCUUUUUUUUUUUUCCUGCGCGCCGAGGUCCUUAUGGGUUGCCGGGUCCGCGUCUAAGAAAGCUGGAUCGGCUAAAAGGAGAGUGAGGCGCCCUCUGAAAACCAAAUCAAAUGGAAUGAGGUUUCCACCCGCCAAUCUCAUUCGUACUCUCUCUCUCUCCAAAACUUUCUCCACCUCCUCGACCAGCCUUGCCGCCCACUUCGCCCGCGUCGUCGAGUCCUCCUCCGUCGCCUCAUGGAACGCCGCCAUCGCCGACCUCGCCCGUUCCGGCGACUCCGCCGAAGCCCUCGCCGCCUUCGCCUCCAUGCGCCGCCUCCGCCUCCGCCCCGACUGCUCCUCCUUCCCCUGCGCUCUCAAGGCUGCUGCUGCCCUAUCCUCCCUCCGCUCCGGCCGCCAGCUCCACCUCCUCGCCUUCCGCCUGGGCCUCCACCCUGACCUCUUCGUCGCUUCCGCGCUCGUCGACAUGUACUCCAAGUGCCGCGAGCCUGUCGACGCCCGCCGCGCCUUCGACGAGACCCCCCACCGUAACGCCGUCCUCUGGACUGCCAUGAUCGCCGGCUCCGUCUGGAACGGCGCCGCCCGCGAGGCAUUUUCUCUAUUCAAAGAAUUCUUGGCAAAGGAGGGAGCUUUAAGCUUGGACACUGUGGCGGCGGUGGCGGCGCUCUCAGCCUGCUCCCGUGUUUUGGAUAGGAAGGCCACGGGAGGGGUUCAUGGGCUUGCAGUGAAGGUCGGGCUCGAGAUGGAUGUCGGGGUGGGGAAUACUUUGGUGGACGCCUAUGCAAAAGGUGGUGAUUUGGGGAUGGGCCGGAAGAUGUUUGAUGGAAUGGCUGAGAGGGACGUGGUGUCAUGGAAUUCUAUGAUUGCUUUGUAUGCUCAGGAUGGGCUGUCAGCAGAAGCACUGGAGUUGUACUGUAAGAUGUUGAGUGGUGGGGGUGUUAGGUAUAAUGCAGUUACGCUCUCAGCAGUGUUAUUUGCUUGUGCGCAUGCUGGGGUACUGCAGAUUGGGAAGUGCAUUCACAAUCAGGUGGUAAGGAUUGGUUUGGAGGAAGAUGUGUAUGUUGGAACAUCAGUAGUUGACAUGUAUUGCAAGUGUGGAAGAGUAGAGACGGCAAGGAAAGCCUUUAACCGUAUGAAGAAAAGGAAUAUCCUCUCAUGGUCUGCCAUGGUAGCAGGUUAUGGCAUGCAUGGCCAUGGCCGAGAAGCUCUUGAGGUUUUCUCUGAGAUGAGGAGAUCUGGAGUGAAGCCAAAUCAUAUCACCUUUGUAUCUGUCCUAGCAGCCUGCAGCCAUGCGGGGCUUGUGGAUGAAGGCCGUCAUUGGUUUCAUGCCAUGAAGAAAGAAUUUGGUAUUGACCCAGGGAUGGAGCAUUAUGGAUGUAUCGUGGAUCUCCUUGGUCGUGCUGGUUGUCUCGAUGAGGCCUAUGGUUUGAUUAAGGAAAUGACAAUCAAACCUGAUUUUGUGGUCUGGGGAGCUCUUCUCAGCGCAUGUAGGAUUCAUAAAAAUGUUGAGCUAGGAGAGAUUUCUGCAAAGAAAUUGUUCGAACUGGAUCCAAAGAACUGUGGAUACUAUGUGUUGCUUUCAAAUAUAUAUGCAGAUGCUGGAAGGUGGGACAAUGUGGAGAAGAUGAGGGUUUUAAUGAAGAACAGAGGACUGGUAAAGCCACCAGGGUACAGUUUAGUAGAGCUCAAGGGUAGGACUCAUGUAUUCUUAGUUGGGGACAAGAAACAUCCCCAGCAUAGGGAGAUCUAUAAUUAUUUGGAAAAGCUAACUGUUAGGAUGCAGGAAGCUGGCUAUGUCCCAGAUACAGGAUCUGUUCUCCAUGAUGUAGAACAAGAAGAGAAAGAAUCAGUAUUACGUGUUCAUAGUGAGAAGCUUGCUGUGGCUUUUGCAAUCAUUAACACAGCUCCAGGAACAACAAUCCAGGUCAUUAAGAACCUCAGGGUGUGUGGGGACUGCCACCAAGCAAUCAAGUUGAUUGCCAAGCUUGUGGAUCGGGAGAUUAUUGUCAGAGAUUCCCAUCGUUUUCAUCAUUUCAAGAAUGGCUUCUGUUCCUGUGGUGAUUAUUGGUGAUUGUAUAUGAUGGGAAGAUAUUAAGACUGCAACUCCCAUGUACUGCUGCCAGGAAAUAAAUAUAAUCAGGGGGGUGCUACACAGAAACUUUCAGGAAAAGAAGUUUACACCUUACAAUUAAGAUCCUAUUUUUAAGGAGAUCAGGUUUUUUUCCAGUGAGCAUUCUUAAUAGUGCUAACAGAAGCAUUAACUUAAUUCCUUCCAUAGUUUUUUGAGAAUGGGAUUUUUACAUGUUUAAUUCUUUGGCUUCUAAAGUAGAAGCCCGGGGCCCAGAUGAUGUGUGACAUUUAUAAAUAUUAAUAGAGAGAAGGUUAUCAUGGUCAAUUCAAGCUUGCAGGUCAAUGACAUUGGUGUCUCGGACUGGCUUUCCUCCAGGUGCAACAAAUUGGGAGCUGUCUCAGAAUUUCAGUGCAUUAUUCAGGACAUCUUUCAACUCCAUGCGGACUCUUCAAAUGAUUUCUGGAGUCCAGUUGGGGAGUAGAUGUUGGAAGCAUUAAGCAUAUAGCUUUUUUGCUGUAUAAGUUGAUAGGGUGUUUCAAACAUGUAUCAACUUUGACAUGAAAGUGAUGUACUGGCUAUGUUGGUGUCAAAAUUUUUUUGGCCUUCCCAUUUAGAUUAUUCUUUCUUGUCAAUUAUCAAUUGUAAUUAAAUUUUAAAUAUCUUUCUUUUUUGUCAUCAUUUGGGGAAGGCUUGUCUCAUUAUUACUUAUUAAUCAAGCUAGAAAAUGCUACUGUACUAGUGGAUGAUCUUCAGCCCAUUGUGGUGAUUAUCUUUUCAAACCACCUAAAUUGCUUACUCUGUUCUUUUAA